Molecule: transfer RNA, 78 nt
Filed under: Cordylochernes scorpioides
Lineage: Eukaryota; Metazoa; Arthropoda; Arachnida; Pseudoscorpiones; Chernetidae
Description: tRNA-Glu
Source: RNAcentral
UGUCCAAUGCGGGAAUCGAACCCGGGUCCUAGUGGCCGAAAACCAAACGGUUUAACCAGCCUUCCACCAACUACCGAC